CGUUUCUGGUACCGAAGUGCUCACAUUGUUCAUAUCUACAGUCCCCCUCAUACCAAUAACUGAGCCUGAUGAAGCCAGAGAUGUGAUCUCAGUGUUGUUGGCCAUAUUGGUCAAUUUUACCCAUCCAGCUGGGUACCAAGAGCAGAGGAACAGAGGUACCUGAGUCAGAGCAGCGAGCAUGCCUCCGUGCUGUGAUCAUGCUUGUGAGUGCACAGCACAAGCCUCGUAUGCAAAACCUGCAGAGAUAAAAAUGGCUCUUGCUGCGCUGGCGCAGUGGCAACCACUGCAAAGCAAAGUGCUCCCCCGAGAUGUGAAACUCAGCAGUUUCCCACUGAGUGCUGGAGCAGCUGUGGAAGAAGGAAGAAUAAAAGGUGAUAUGAGUUAGAUUUAUGCUGAUGUAUGAGAUUUUCAGGGACAUGUAAACCAGGAGAAACCUAGAAAUCUGAGCCCAGCUUGGAAAACUGUAGCAGAAAGUCAUUGGGAAAUUGAGACCUGAAUCCCAGUUGUUCUGCACGUUUCUGUCAUUUGCAGUUGCAACACCAGUGUAAUAUUGCAUCUUCUCACCAGUGAAGGCGCUGGAUUUGCCUACCAGCCCAAAGGCAAGAGAAAAAUAAAGGACCUCUCUCUCGCUAAA
This 634-nucleotide long non-coding RNA is filed under the name Anser brachyrhynchus (Pink-footed goose). RNAcentral describes it as "lncRNA (ENSABRG00000014456.1)". The record is from RNAcentral. Lineage: Eukaryota; Metazoa; Chordata; Aves; Anseriformes; Anatidae.